UUGUCGGUGAGUUUCGGGAGGGACCAGGAAGCCGGGUACCUGUCGCUGCUCUGUUAGCCUGAUCCUGAGCUGUUUUCCGCUCAGUCCGGACAUCAUUCCGCCUCCUCAUCUCUUCGUGGACCUUUAAACAAACCAAGGCGGAAACAUGGCUCAGAAGAUCAAGGCAGGCUCCGUGGUGGAGAUGCAGGGAGACGAGAUGACUCGAGUCAUCUGGGAGCUCAUCAAGGAGAAA
Long non-coding RNA from Notothenia coriiceps (black rockcod), 232 nucleotides. RefSeq lists it as uncharacterized. Lineage: Eukaryota; Metazoa; Chordata; Actinopteri; Perciformes; Nototheniidae. The transcript has 2 exons. The record is from RefSeq and is a predicted model, not a curated record.